GACGAACGCUGGUGGCGUGCCUAAUACAUGCAAGUAGAACGCUGAAGGAGGAGCUUGCUUCUCUGGAUGAGUUGCGAACGGGUGAGUAACGCGUAGGUAACCUGCCUGGUAGCGGGGGAUAACUAUUGGAAACGAUAGCUAAUACCGCACAAGAGUAGAUGUUGCAUGACAUUUGCUUAAAAGGUGCAAUUGCAUCACUACCAGAUGGACAUGCGUUGUAUUAGCUAGUUGGUGAGGUAACGGCUCACCAAGGCGCCGAUACGUAGCCGACCUGAGAGGGUGAUCGGCCACACUGGAAGUGAGACAUGGCCCAGACUACUACGAGAGGCAGCAGUAGAGAGUAUUAGGCGAUGGACGGAAGUCUGACCGAGCAAGGCCGCGAGAGUGAAGAAGGAUUUCGGAUCGAAAAACACUGUUGUAAGAAAAGAACGAGUGUGAGAGUGGAAAGUUCACACUAUGACAGUAUCUAACCAGAAAGAGACGACUAACUGCGUG
This 495-nucleotide ribosomal RNA is filed under the name uncultured bacterium. RNAcentral describes it as "partial 16S ribosomal RNA". It matches the Rfam family "Bacterial small subunit ribosomal RNA", at positions 28 to 507 of the family's 1533-position model. The record is from RNAcentral.